Long non-coding RNA from Clupea harengus (Atlantic herring), 1410 nucleotides. The record is from Ensembl. Lineage: Eukaryota; Metazoa; Chordata; Actinopteri; Clupeiformes; Clupeidae.
GAACCACUGCCGUUUAAAACUGGCACAAAACAGUUUAUAUUAUAUAUUACCAUGAACAUAAUUGGUUAUUGAUAAGUGUUUCUAUGUAUGCAUUUGCUUCUCAGUUAGUGAAUGUUGUGGGAUGCUUGUGGAGUAGUGUGUCAGUGACUAGCUGGCUACCUAGCUCAUGCUACAUUACGAGAAGGCAACACAAAUCUAGCUCUAACAAGGUAGGCUUCAUUUUAGUGCAUAAUGAUAAUGUUGUUGAGUUGGCUGCCGACACAGAUAACAUCAGUUUAUGUAUUUUUGCCGUUAGAAAAUCAGCUCAGUUGUACCUCCCCUGUGUUUAAAGCAUCAGCCGCCACUGGUUGGUUUGUAUGACGGAGCUCUAAGAAGCACUAUAAAUAAAUCCCCCAGUCCUCCUACGGCUAAAAAUAGCCUACUGUAGGCAGGAAGGCUCUUGGGCUCCCCCUGUCGGCUCAGCUUGAAUUACCAAAUUGCUGGCAUUUUUACUACAUUUACCCAGUGUGACCAGAAGAGGCAUCCUUCUCUGUAUCCCCCCUCUCUCUUUCUCUCUCUCACGUUCUCUCUCUAUCUAUAUCUCUCAAACGUGUAGGGAAUACUGCUGGCAAACUACACACGUGUUCCAUCCCUCAGUGUUUGUGAAUAUGAGUGUGUCUGUAGAGUGUGUGUUUGUGUUCUGCAUUAGAGAUCAUCUUGUCAAUGCUGUUUUUUUUCCCCCUUUCUCUGUCUCUCUCUUUCAUAUGAAAAGCUCCAGUGCAGCGUGUGUGCCAGAUUGAAUUUACAGCCCAUUUGCCAAGCAGCCGUCUUGGGGAGGGAGGGGGGCAUCUGCAGCCUCCAGCCAGUGUGAUUGUGUUGUGCUUCCCAGGAAGGUUGAACUAGUCCAGUGUGAGAUUGGCAUGAGGUGAAGGGGGAGGAAUCGGGGAGGGGAGGGGAGGAUGAAUAGAGAGAAUGAGGAAGACAGUAGGACGGGCAUAAGACAUUAAGUGAUUAGUUGUGUCACCUUCCUUCUCUCUGCCCAAAGACGGCGAGAGAAUGUUGAGUUUAGAGAGAGAGAGAGAGAGAGGAGAAAGGAAGAGAUGGAAAAAGACAGAGGGAAGAAAGGAAGAGAAAGAAAAAGACAGAGGGAAAAAGUUGUGUUUAGAGAUGGAGGGAAGAGAGGAACAGACCAAAGAAGCGAGAGGGAUAAGGUUCAGGUUAGAGAGAAGAAGUGGCAGUUGAGGUGAGAAAGGAAGUGAUAGAGAGAGAAGGAGAGAGAGAGAAAAGGUUGUGGAUGAGGAGAGAGCGAGAAGAGGGAUUGGGGUAGGGGUUAGAGGAUGGAGAGAAAGAGAAGGGAAACAGAGAGAUAGAGAGAGAGGGAUAAGGAGAGAGAGAAGAGAGAGAAGGGAUUGGCAUGAGGGAGAAAAGGAG